This 253-nucleotide ribosomal RNA is filed under the name uncultured bacterium. Its description in RNAcentral is "partial 16S ribosomal RNA". It matches the Rfam family "Bacterial small subunit ribosomal RNA", at positions 524 to 776 of the family's 1533-position model. The record is from RNAcentral.
GACGUAGGAAGCAAGCGUUGCCCGGAAUUACUGGGCGUAAAGAGCUCGUAGGCGGGGGCGUGCGUCCGAAAGGAAAUCUCAAGGCUCAACCUUGGGGCUUUUUCGGAUACGGCGCUUCUUGAGGGUGAGAGAGGAAAGCGGAAUUCCAGGUGUAGCGGUGAAAUGCGUAGAUAUCUGGAGGAACACCAGCGGCGAAGGCGGCUUUCUGGCUCAUUCCUGACGCUGAGGAGCGAAAGCGUGGGUAGCGAACGGG